GACGAACGCUGGCGGCGUGCUUAACACAUGCAAGUCGAACGGUAAGGCCCUUCGGGGGUACACGAGUGGCGAACGGGUGAGUAACACGUGGGUGAUCUACCCUGCACUUCGGGAUAAGCCUGGGAAACUGGGUCUAAUACCGGAUAGGACUCCGGACUGCAUGGUCUGGGGUGGAAAGCUUUUGCGGUGUGGGAUGGGCCCGCGGCCUAUCAGCUUGUUGGUGGGGUGAUGGCCUACCAAGGCGACGACGGGUAGCCGGCCUGAGAGGGUGACCGGCCACACUGGGACUGAGAUACGGCCCAGACUCCUACGGGAGGCAGCAGUGGGGAAUAUUGCACAAUGGGCGCAAGCCUGAUGUAGCGACGCCGCGUGAGGGAUGACGGCCUUCGGGUUGUAAACCUCUUUCAGCAUCGACGAAGCGAAAGUGACGGUAGGUGCAGAAGAAGGACCGGCCAACUACGUGCCAGCAGCCGCGGUAA
RNAcentral lists this ribosomal RNA (479 nucleotides) under uncultured bacterium. RNAcentral's name for it is "partial 16S ribosomal RNA". It matches the Rfam family "Bacterial small subunit ribosomal RNA", at positions 28 to 523 of the family's 1533-position model. The record is from RNAcentral.